Molecule: ribosomal RNA, 253 nt
Filed under: uncultured bacterium
Lineage: Bacteria
Description: partial 16S ribosomal RNA
Rfam family: Bacterial small subunit ribosomal RNA
Source: RNAcentral
UACGGAGGGUGCGAGCGUUGUUCGGAAUUACUGGGCGUAAAGGGUGCGUAGGCGGCGCGGUAAGUCGGGUGUGAAAUCUCGGAGCUUAACUCCGAAACUGCAUUCGAUACUGCCGUGCUUGAGGACUGGAGAGGAGACUGGAAUUUACGGUGUAGCGGUGAAAUGCGUAGAUAUCGUAAGGAAGACCAGUGGCGAAGGCGGGUCUCUGGACAGUUCCUGACGCUGAGGCACGAAGGUCAGGGGAGCAAACGGG